Molecule: ribosomal RNA, 497 nt
Filed under: uncultured bacterium
Lineage: Bacteria
Description: partial 16S ribosomal RNA
Rfam family: Bacterial small subunit ribosomal RNA
Source: RNAcentral
GAUGAACGCUGGCGGCGUGCCUAAUACAUGCAAGUCGAGCGAACGGACGAGAAGCUUGCUUCUCUGAUGUUAGCGGCGGACGGGUGAGUAACACGUGGAUAACCUACCUAUAAGACUGGGAUAACUUCGGGAAACCGGAGCUAAUACCGGAUAAUAUUUUGAACCGCAUGGUUCAAAAGUGAAAGACGGUCUUGCUGUCACUUAUAGAUGGAUCCGCGCUGCAUUAGCUAGUUGGUAAGGUAACGGCUUACCAAGGCAACUAUGCAUAGCCGACCGGAGAGGGUGAUCGGCCACACUGGAAGUGAGACACGCUCCAGACUCCUACGGGAGGCAGCAGUAGGGAAUCGUACGCAAUGGGCGAAAGCCUGACGGAGCAACGCCGCGUGAGUGAUGAAGGUCUUCGGAUCGUAAAACUCUGUUAUUAGGGAAGAACAUAUGUGUAAGUAACUGUGCACAUCUUGACGGUACCUAAUCAGAAAGCCACGGCUAACUACGUG